This 1333-nucleotide ribosomal RNA is filed under the name uncultured bacterium. Its description in RNAcentral is "bacterial SSU rRNA". It matches the Rfam family "Bacterial small subunit ribosomal RNA", at positions 28 to 1381 of the family's 1533-position model. The record is from RNAcentral.
GACGAACGCUGGCGGCGCGCCUAACACAUGCAAGUCGAACGAGAGAUGAAGAGCUUGCUCUUCAAAUCGAGUGGCGAACGGGUGAGUAACGCGUGAGGAACCUGCCUCAAAGAGGGGGACAACAGUUGGAAACGACUGCUAAUACCGCAUAAGCCCACGGCUCGGCAUCGAGCAGAGGGAAAAGGAGCAAUCCGCUUUGAGAUGGCCUCGCGUCCGAUUAGCUAGUUGGUGAGGUAACGGCCCACCAAGGCGACGAUCGGUAGCCGGACUGAGAGGUUGAACGGCCACAUUGGGACUGAGACACGGCCCAGACUCCUACGGGAGGCAGCAGUGGGGAAUAUUGCACAAUGGGGGAAACCCUGAUGCAGCGACGCCGCGUGGAGGAAGAAGGUCUUCGGAUUGUAAACUCCUGUUGUUGAGGAAGAUAAUGACGGUACUCAACAAGGAAGUGACGGCUAACUACGUGCCAGCAGCCGCGGUAAAACGUAGGUCACAAGCGUUGUCCGGAAUUACUGGGUGUAAAGGGAGCGCAGGCGGGAGAACAAGUUGGAAGUGAAAUCCAUGGGCUCAACCCAUGAACUGCUUUCAAAACUGUUUUUCUUGAGUAGUGCAGAGGUAGGCGGAAUUCCCCGGUGUAGCGGUGGAAUGCGUAGAUAUCGGGAGGAACACCAGUGGCGAAGGCGGCCUACUGGGCACCAACUGACGCUGAGGCUCGAAAGUGUGGGUAGCAAACAGGAUUAGAUACCCUGGUAGUCCACACCGUAAACGAUGAUUACUAGGUGUUGGAGGAUUGACCCCUUCAGUGCCGCAGUUAACACAAUAAGUAAUCCACCUGGGGAGUACGACCGCAAGGUUGAAACUCAAAGGAAUUGACGGGGGCCCGCACAAGCAGUGGAGUAUGUGGUUUAAUUCGACGCAACGCGAAGAACCUUACCAAGUCUUGACAUCCCUUGACGAACAUAGAAAUAUGUUUUCUCUUCGGAGCAAGGAGACAGGUGGUGCAUGGUUGUCGUCAGCUCGUGUCGUGAGAUGUUGGGUUAAGUCCCGCAACGAGCGCAACCCUUAUGGUCAGUUACUACGCAAGAGGACUCUGGCCAGACUGCCGUUGACAAAACGGAGGAAGGUGGGGAUGACGUCAAAUCAUCAUGCCCUUUAUGACUUGGGCUACACACGUACUACAAUGGCGUUAAACAAAGAGAAGCAAGACCGCGAGGUGGAGCAAAACUCAGAAACAACGUCCCAGUUCGGACUGCAGGCUGCAACUCGCCUGCACGAAGUCGGAAUUGCUAGUAAUCGUGGAUCAGCAUGCCACGGUGAAUACGUUCCCGGGCCU